Molecule: ribosomal RNA, 253 nt
Filed under: uncultured bacterium
Lineage: Bacteria
Description: partial 16S ribosomal RNA
Rfam family: Bacterial small subunit ribosomal RNA
Source: RNAcentral
UACGUAGGGACCAAGCGUUGUCCGGAAUCAUUGGGCGUAAAGGGUGCGUAGGCGGGUCUUUAAGUCAGAGGGGAAAUCCUGGAGCUCAACUCCAGAACUGCCUUUGAUACUGAAGAUCUUGAGUUCGGGAGAGGUGAGUGGAACUGCGAGUGUAGAGGUGAAAUUCGUAGAUAUUCGCAAGAACACCAGUGGCGAAGGCGGCUCACUGGCCCGAUACUGACGCUGAGGCACGAAAGCGUGGGGAGCAAACAGG